This 427-nucleotide ribosomal RNA is filed under the name uncultured prokaryote. RNAcentral's name for it is "bacterial SSU rRNA". It matches the Rfam family "Bacterial small subunit ribosomal RNA", at positions 355 to 796 of the family's 1533-position model. The record is from RNAcentral.
UGGGGAAUUUUCCGCAAUGGGCGAAAGCCUGACGGAGCAAUACCGCGUGAGGGAGGAAGGCUUUUGGGUUGUAAACCUCUUUUCUCAAGGAAGAAGCAAGUGACGGUACUUGAGGAAUCAGCAUCGGCUAACUCCGUGCCAGCAGCCGCGGUAAUACGGAGGAUGCAAGCGUUAUCCGGAAUUAUUGGGCGUAAAGCGUCCGCAGGUGGCGAUUCAAGUCUGCUGUCAAAGACUGGGGCUCAACCCCAGAAAGGCAGUGGAAACUGGAUAGCUAGAGUACGGUAGGGGUUGAGGGAAUUCCCAGUGUAGCGGUGAAAUGCGUAGAUAUUGGGAAGAACACCAGUGGCGAAGGCGCUCAACUGGGCCGUAACUGACACUCAGGGACGAAAGCUAGGGUAGCGAAAGGGAUUAGAUACCCGCGUAGUCC